Molecule: ribosomal RNA, 440 nt
Filed under: uncultured bacterium
Lineage: Bacteria
Description: partial 16S ribosomal RNA
Rfam family: Bacterial small subunit ribosomal RNA
Source: RNAcentral
CCUACGGGAGGCAGCAGUGGGGAAUAUUGCGCAAUGGGGGAAACCCUGAUGCAGCGACGCCGCGUGAGUGAAGAAGUCAUUCGGGAUGUAAAGCUCUAUCAGCAGGGAAGAAAAUGACGGUACCUGACCAAGAAGCCCCGGCUAACUACGUGCCAGCAGCCGCGGUAAUACGUAGGGGGCAAGCGUUAUCCGGAUUUACUGGGUGUAAAGGGAGCGUAGACGGUUUUGCAAGUCAGGAGUGAAAGCCCGGGGCCCAACCCCGGGACUGCUCUGGGAACUGUGUGGCUGGAGUGCAGGAGAGGCAGGCGGAAUUCCUGGUGUAGCGGUGAAAUGCGUAGAUAUUAGGAGGAACACCAGUGGCGAAGGCGGCCUGCUGGACUGUAACUGACGUUGAGGCUCGAAAGCGUGGGGAGCAAACAGGAUUAGAUACCCCGGUAGUC